RNAcentral lists this ribosomal RNA (513 nucleotides) under uncultured bacterium. RNAcentral describes it as "bacterial SSU rRNA". It matches the Rfam family "Bacterial small subunit ribosomal RNA", at positions 36 to 524 of the family's 1533-position model. The record is from RNAcentral.
GCAAACUGGCGGCGUGCUAAUCAUGCAAGUCGCACGCACGAAGUUGAAGAGCUUGCUCUUUAACCAGUGAGUGGCGGACGGGUGAGUAACACGUGGGUAACCUGCCCAUUAGAGGGGGAUAACAUUCGGAAACGGAUGCUAAUACCGCAUAGUUUCAGGAAUCGCAUGAUUCUUGAAGGAAAGGUGGCUUCGGCUACCACUAAUGGAUGGACCCGCGGCGUAUUAGCUAGUUGGUGAGGUAAUGGCUCACCAAGGCAAUGAUACGUAGCCGACCUGAGAGGGUGAUCGGCCACACUGGGACUGAGACACGGCCCAGACUCCUACGGGAGGCAGCAGUAGGGAAUCUUCCGCAAUGGACGAAAGUCUGACGGAGCAACGCCGCGUGAGUGAAGAAGGUUUUCGGAUCGUAAAACUCUGUUGUUAAAGAAGAACAAGGAUGAGAGUAACUGCUCAUCCCCUGACGGUAUUUAACCAGAAAGCCACGGCUAACUACGUGCCAGCAGCCGCGGUAAU